This 301-nucleotide ribosomal RNA is filed under the name uncultured bacterium. RNAcentral's name for it is "partial 16S ribosomal RNA". It matches the Rfam family "Bacterial small subunit ribosomal RNA", at positions 509 to 807 of the family's 1533-position model. The record is from RNAcentral.
CAGUAGCCGCGGUAAUACGAAGGGGGCUAGCGUUGUUCGGAGUUACUGGGCGUAAAGCGCACGUAGGCGGAUAUUUAAGUCAGGGGUGAAAUCCCAGAGCUCAACUCUGGAACUGCCUUUGAUACUGGGUAUCUUGAGUAUGGAAGAGGUGAGUGGAAUUCCGAGUGUAGAGGUGAAAUUCGUAGAUAUUCGGAGGAACACCAGUGGCGAAGGCGGCUCACUGGUCCAUUACUGACGCUGAGGUGCGAAAGCGUGGGGAGCAAACAGGAUUAGAUACCCGCGUAGUCCCUGUCUCUUAUAC